GUGAUGAAAUGCAGGUGCCAGUGUGCACGAUGUUCUCGUCUCGGAUGCCAGGUCAGGAUUUCUCAACUCUUUUUGUGGUUCCGCUGUCACAGGACAUUAGCGGACGAGUCCAUUGUCUUUCACUUAAAGAUAACGGCCGCUGCGUCACUGUCCCUCACUCCACACUCACUUGUCCUCUGAGGACGGCGCAGAUGAAACAUUUAUUCCCCUCCGUCCUGACGCACACUCAAGGCUCAGAGGAAUUUGUGUAUUGUCUGGUGUCCAUUUUAAUGCUAAAAACAAACAGUGCUGUCCUAUACAUAUAGUACACUGCACGGAAAUAGGCUGAAACAUGCAGUGGGUAGGAUUAAAGGUGCAACAGGUAAAUUAAAGGUGCAGUGGGCAGAAUUAAAGGUGCAAUGGGUAGAAUUAAAGGUGCAAUGGGUAGAAUUAAAGGUACAAUGAUUAGAAUUAAAGGUGCAAUGGGUAGAUUAGAAUUAAAGGUGCAAUGGGUAGAAUGAAUGAUAAACGUGUAAAUUAAAGGUACAGUGGGUUGAAUUAAAAGUACAAUAGGUAAAUUAAAGGUGCAGUGGGUAGAAUGAAAGAAUAAAUGGGUAGAAUUAAAGGUGCAAUGGGAGAAUUAAAGGUGCAAUGGGUAGAAUUAAAGGUGCAAUGGGUAGAAUUAAAGGUACAAUGAUUAGAAUUAAAGGUGCAAUGGGUAGAAUGAAAGGAUAAACGUGUAAAUUAAAGGUACAGUGGGUUGAAUUAAAAGUACAAUAGGUAAAUUAAAGGUGCAAUGGGUAGAAUGAAAGAAUAAAUGGGUAGUAUUAAAGGUGCAAUGGGUCAAUUAAAGGUACAAUGGGUAGAAUUAAAGGUGCAAUAGGUAGAAUGAAAGAAUAAAUGGGUAGAAUUAAAGGUACUAUGGGUAGAAUUAAAGGUACAAUAGGUAAAUUAAAGGUACAAUGGGUAGGAUUAAAGGUACUAUGGGUAAAUUAAAGGUGCAGUGGGUAGAAUGAAAGAAUAAAUGGGUAGUAUUAAAGGUGCAAUGGGUCAAUUAAAGGUACAGUGGGUAGAAUGAAAGAAUAAAUGGGUAGAAUUAAAGGUACUAUGGGUAAAUUAAAGGUACAGUGGGUAGAAUGAAAGAAUAAAUGGGUAGAAUUAAAGGUGCAAUGGGUAGAAUGAAAGAAUAAAUGGGUAGACUUAAAGGUACUAUGGGUAAAUUAAAGGUGCAGUGGGU
Long non-coding RNA from Ictalurus punctatus (channel catfish), 1216 nucleotides. Lineage: Eukaryota; Metazoa; Chordata; Actinopteri; Siluriformes; Ictaluridae. The record is from Ensembl.